Molecule: ribosomal RNA, 964 nt
Filed under: uncultured bacterium
Lineage: Bacteria
Description: bacterial SSU rRNA
Rfam family: Bacterial small subunit ribosomal RNA
Source: RNAcentral
ACACAUGCAAGUCGAACGCUAUAGCAAUAUAGAGUGGCAGACGGGUGAGUAACACGUGGGAACCUUCCUAUUAGUACGGAAUAGCCCAGGGAAACCCGGAUUAAUACCGUAUACGCCCUAAGGGGGAAAGAUUUAUCGCUAAUAGAUGGGCCCGCGUAAGAUUAGCUAGUUGGUGAGGUAAUGGCUCACCAAGGCUACGAUCUUUAGCUGGUCUGAGAGGAUGAUCAGCCACACUGGAACUGAGACACGGUCCAGACUCCUACGGGAGGCAGCAGUGGGGAAUAUUGGACAAUGGGCGCAAGCCUGAUCCAGCCAUGCCGCGUGAAUGAUGAAGGCCUUCGGGUUGUAAAGUUCUUUUAGUGGAGAAGAUAAUGACGGUAUCCACAGAAAAAGCUCCGGCUAACUUCGUGCCAGCAGCCGCGGUAAUACGAAGGGGGCUAGCGUUGUUCGGAAUUACUGGGCGUAAAGCGUUUGUAGGCGGUUAUCCAAGCUAGUGGUGAAAUCCCAGGGCUCAACCCUGGAAUUGCCAUUAGAACUAGAUAGCUAGAGAAUGUUAGAGGUAAGUGGAAUUCCUAGUGUAGGAGUGAAAUCCGUAGAGAUUAGGAGGAAUAUCGAUGGCGAAGGCAGCUUACUGGGACAUUUCUGACGCUGAGAAACGAAAGCGUGGGUAGCAAACAGGAUUAGAUACCCUGGUAGUCCACGCCCUAAACGAUGGGUGCUAGUCGUCGGAACUUAAGUUUCGGUGACGUAGCUAACGCGUUAAGCACCCCGCCUGGGGAGUACGGUCGCAAGAUUAAAACUCAAAGGAAUUGACGGGGACCCGCACAAGCGGUGGAGCAUGUGGUUUAAUUCGAGGCUACGCGAAGAACCUUACCAGCUCUUGACAUCCUGAUCGCCGCUCUUGUAAUGAGAGCUUCAGUUCGGCUGGAUCAGUGACAGGUGCUGCAUGGCUGUCGUCAGCUCG